UACGUAUGUUCCAAGCGUUAUCCGGAUUUAUUGGGCGUAAAGCGAGCGCAGACGGUUAUUUAAGUCUGAAGUGAAAGCCCUCAGCUCAACUGAGGAAUGGCUUUGGAAACUGGAUGACUUGAGUGCAGUAGAGGAAAGUGGAACUCCAUGUGUAGCGGUGAAAUGCGUAGAUAUAUGGAAGAACACCAGUGGCGAAGGCGGCUUUCUGGACUGUAACUGACGUUGAGGCUCGAAAGUGUGGGUAGCAAACAGGAUUAGAUACC
This 263-nucleotide ribosomal RNA is filed under the name uncultured bacterium. RNAcentral's name for it is "partial 16S ribosomal RNA". It matches the Rfam family "Bacterial small subunit ribosomal RNA", at positions 524 to 786 of the family's 1533-position model. The record is from RNAcentral.